This 361-nucleotide unclassified non-coding RNA is filed under the name uncultured fungus. Its description in RNAcentral is "partial contains small subunit ribosomal RNA, internal transcribed spacer 1, and 5.8S ribosomal RNA". The stretch from base 1 to 73 matches the Rfam family "Eukaryotic small subunit ribosomal RNA", at positions 1759 to 1831 of the family's 1831-position model. Lineage: Eukaryota; Fungi. The record is from RNAcentral.
GCAAACUUGGUCAUUUAGAGGAAGUAAAAGUCGUAACAAGGUUUCCGUAGGUGAACCUGCGGAAGGAUCAUUAUCAAGACCUGAAAUUUCAUUUUGAAGUUUCUAAAGUGUCCACAUUUUUUGUACAAACCUCUUCGGGGGUUUGUGCAGGAUUUGUCCCACCCUUUGUGAACCAUUCUCUAUUUGCUUCGGCAGCACCUUGCGGAAGAAAUUCCGUGAAGGGUAAGGCUGUCAGAAGCCCACUAUAACACUAGUUGAUAAAAUACAUAACAGUCUGAUAUUAUUUUUGAGAAAUCAAAAAAAUUCUGUUAAAACUUUCAGCAACGGAUCUCUUGGUUCUCGCAUCGAUGAAGAACGCAGC